Molecule: ribosomal RNA, 253 nt
Filed under: uncultured bacterium
Lineage: Bacteria
Description: partial 16S ribosomal RNA
Rfam family: Bacterial small subunit ribosomal RNA
Source: RNAcentral
UACGUAGGGUGCGAGCGUUAAUCGGAAUUACUGGGCGUAAAGCGUGCGCAGGCGGUUCGUUAUGUCCGUUGUGAAAGCCCCGGGCUCAACCUGGGAACUGCAUUGGAAACUAACGGGCUCGAGUGUGGCAGAGGGGGGUGGAAUUCCACGUGUAGCAGUGAAAUGCGUAGAGAUGUGGAGGAACACCGAUGGCGAAGGCAGCCCCCUGGGCUAACACUGACGCUCAGGUACGAAAGCGUGGGGAGCAAACAGG